This 106-nucleotide non-coding RNA is filed under the name Streptococcus sp. DD10. RNAcentral describes it as "Streptococcus RNA 266". It matches the Rfam family "Streptococcus RNA 266". The record is from Rfam by way of RNAcentral. Lineage: Bacteria; Bacillati; Bacillota; Bacilli; Lactobacillales; Streptococcaceae.
GAUGGUUUCGUCGCUUUUCAUUAUAGAUCUUAUGGGACUUUUUUCUACAAUAAAAUAGGCUCCAUAAUAUCUAUAGGGGGUUACCCACUACAAAUAUUAUAGAGCC